UAGGGAAUCUUCGGCAAUGGGGGGAACCCUGACCGAGCAACGCCGCGUGAGUGAAGAAGGUUUUCGGAUCGUAAAGCUCUGUUGUUAAGGAAGAACGAGUGUGAGAAUGGAAAGUUCAUACUGUGACGGUACUUAACCAGAAAGGGACGGCUAACUACGUGCCAGCAGCCGCGGUAAUACGUAGGUCCCGAGCGUUGUCCGGAUUUAUUGGGCGUAAAGCGAGCGCAGGCGGUUAGAAAAGUCUGAAGUGAAAGGCAGUGGCUCAACCAUUGUAGGCUUUGGAAACUGUUUAACUUGAGUGCAGAAGGGGAGAGUGGAAUUCCAUGUGUAACGGUGAAAUGCGUAGAUAUAUGGAGGAACACCGGUGGCGAAGGCGACUCUCUGGUCUGUAACUGACGCUGAGGCUCGAAAGCGUGGGUAGCAAACAGG
Molecule: ribosomal RNA, 429 nt
Filed under: Bacteroidota bacterium
Lineage: Bacteria; Pseudomonadati; Bacteroidota
Description: Bacteroidetes bacterium partial 16S ribosomal RNA
Rfam family: Bacterial small subunit ribosomal RNA
Source: RNAcentral